Molecule: ribosomal RNA, 262 nt
Filed under: Acinetobacter baumannii
Lineage: Bacteria; Pseudomonadati; Pseudomonadota; Gammaproteobacteria; Moraxellales; Moraxellaceae
Description: partial 23S ribosomal RNA
Rfam family: Bacterial large subunit ribosomal RNA
Source: RNAcentral
GAGGACCAGAGUGGACGAACCUCUGGUGUACCGGUUGUGACGCCAGUCGCAUCGCCGGGUAGCUAUGUUCGGAAGGGAUAACCGCUGAAAGCAUCUAAGCGGGAAGCCUACCUCAAGAUAAGAUUUCCCUAGGACUUUAUGUCCUCUAAAGAGCCGUUCGAGACUAGGACGUUGAUAGGUUGGAUGUGGAAGCAUAGUGAUAUGUGAAGCUGACCAAUACUAAUUGCUCGUGAGGCUUGACUAUACAACACCCAAGCAGUUG